UACGGAGGGAGCUAGCGUUGUUCGGAAUUACUGGGCGUAAAGCGUGCGUAGACGGUAGCGUAAGUCGGAUGUGAAAGCCCGGGCUCAACCUGGGAAUUGCAUUCGAGACUGUGUAGCUAGGGUGCGGAAGAGGGAAGCGGAAUUUCCGGUGUAGCGGUGAAAUGCGUAGAUAUGGAAGGAACAUCAGUGGCGAAAGCGGCUUCCUGGUCCAGCACCGACGUCAGGCACGAAAGCGUGGGGAGCAAACAGG
RNAcentral lists this ribosomal RNA (250 nucleotides) under uncultured bacterium. RNAcentral describes it as "partial 16S ribosomal RNA". It matches the Rfam family "Bacterial small subunit ribosomal RNA", at positions 524 to 776 of the family's 1533-position model. The record is from RNAcentral.